Long non-coding RNA from Onychostoma macrolepis, 369 nucleotides. RefSeq lists it as uncharacterized. NCBI's taxonomy places the organism in Eukaryota, Metazoa, Chordata, Actinopteri, Cypriniformes, Cyprinidae. The transcript has 3 exons. The record is from RefSeq and is a predicted model, not a curated record.
CAGAAAAUAGGGAUACAAUUUGUUUGCUGAAAUAUUGUCAGGGGAAAUAUUUCUCUCAUCGAUAUUUCUCCCAAACUGUUGCCUAUAUGGUUGAUAGACCCUGACACUACAGUUACAGAGGGUGAGUGCUGCAGAUGGGCAGAUGAGGAGUGUACCUGUCUGCCUUCAAGGCUCAGAGACCUGGCUGAUGGCCUAAUGCUGGGAGGCAUGUGGAGGAAACGGACAGCAGAGAGGGCGUUGGUGAAGUGUUAUGAAGCUAGAGCACACCCAUUGUCUCAUCCCAUAUAAGUUAAUAAGUCCCUUUCCAUCCUCUGAAAUGGCAGUGAAGCGCUGAAAGAAACAGCUCAAGUGGAACAGCGUGGAGCCGAG